CAGGACUUAGCUGAGACAGAAAAGCAUCUCCCUUACACUGAGAAAGCAUCCGUGCAAAUCGGAUAGCCCUGAC
Molecule: transfer RNA, 73 nt
Filed under: Scatophagus argus
Lineage: Eukaryota; Metazoa; Chordata; Actinopteri; Scatophagidae
Description: tRNA-Val
Rfam family: tRNA
About the family: Transfer RNA (tRNA) molecules are approximately 80 nucleotides in length. Their secondary structure includes four short double-helical elements and three loops (D, anti-codon, and T loops).
Source: RNAcentral